RNAcentral lists this transfer RNA (90 nucleotides) under Formosimonas limnophila. RNAcentral describes it as "tRNA-Ser". It matches the Rfam family "tRNA". From Rfam's summary of the family: Transfer RNA (tRNA) molecules are approximately 80 nucleotides in length. Their secondary structure includes four short double-helical elements and three loops (D, anti-codon, and T loops). The record is from RNAcentral. RNAcentral also lists the same sequence under 2 other names. Lineage: Bacteria; Pseudomonadati; Pseudomonadota; Betaproteobacteria; Burkholderiales; Burkholderiaceae.
GGAAGCGUGGCAGAGCGGUUUAAUGCUACAGUCUUGAAAACUGUCGUGGAUUUACGUCCACCGUGAGUUCGAAUCUCACCGCUUCCGCCA